CUUUGAUCUACAUUCAUAUGGAGGAUUUUAAAGAUGUCUAACUGGAAUCCUAUUCACAGAAGUUUUAGUUGGAGGCUGACAUAGAUGAAGAUCCUGUUGCCCAAAGACAACCCUGGAGGGGUAAAGUGUAGUCUGAUGCCCCUAAACUUUGUCUCUCUGAUAAAGGUUUUUUAUGCCUCUGCUUUUUUUUUUUUCUGGGAAGCUGGAGCCUAUAACCACACGUUCAAAACCAUACCCAGUAGCCUGAGGGUUCUCAAGCACCAAGUAUUGGGGACAAGCUUGAUGUCAGCCUUGGACAAGCACACAAGUAACUAACUUGGGGCACUAGUGUCCAGGAAAUUUGCCCAGGCUACUCCACUAUGAGGAAGAAGGUCAACUCUGCCUGCCUACAAGCAGCUAGC
Molecule: long non-coding RNA, 401 nt
Filed under: Bos taurus (domestic cattle)
Lineage: Eukaryota; Metazoa; Chordata; Mammalia; Artiodactyla; Bovidae
Description: long non-coding RNA NONBTAT024674
Source: RNAcentral